UAAGGAAGAAGAUGGACAGGGAAAGGGGGUUGUCACAACCCUCUUUCUCUCUCUGACCUCAAGCAACUGGAAACCCCUGCUGGGCUGGAGAUGUUAGUCUGCACAACCAGGGAUGAAACUGAACUAACAUGUGCGAAACACUCACUGAGACAUCUCUAAGGCAAACUACCAUGGAUCUACGGCCAGAAUGUAAUUCUGCCCCCAGCUGGUUAAGACAUCGCUGACAUAGGAGACUGAAAGUGAGAGAAUGUUGAACCUAUGAACUCUGCUACUUCUCAGAUGAUGACUACAAUUUGCAUGCAAAGUAUCAGCAGCUUUACUGUUCAGCACAGGUGCUAAUAGAUUCAAAGUUUUUUAUACAAGUAUAUACUGCACCCUCUUCAUUAUAGUACUAAUAGCAAAAAGGUGAAACUGUUUUCAGGAAACAGUUCAUUGAUUACUCCUACAGAACAUUACAAUUAAUGACAUUGGCCUGUGGAAAUUGCUGCACC
RNAcentral lists this long non-coding RNA (491 nucleotides) under Struthio camelus australis. Its description in RNAcentral is "lncRNA (ENSSCUG00000009014.1)". Lineage: Eukaryota; Metazoa; Chordata; Aves; Struthioniformes; Struthionidae. The record is from RNAcentral.